GAUGAACGCUGGCGGCGUGCCUAAUACAUGCAAGUCGAGCGAACGGACGAGAAGCUUGCUUCUCUGAUGUUAGCGGCGGACGGGUGAGUAACACGUGGAUAACCUACCUAUAAGACUGGGAUAACUUCGGGAAACCGUAGCUAAUACCGGAUAAUAUUUUGAACCGCAUGGUUCAAAAGUGAAAGACGGUCUUGCUGUCACUUAUAGAUGGAUCCGCGCUGCAUUAGCUAGUUGGUAAGGUAACGGCUUACCAAGGCAACGAUGCAUAGCCGACCUGAGAGGGUGAUCGGCCACACUGGAACUGAGACACGGUCCAGACUCCUACGGGAGGCAGCAGUAGGGAAUCUUCCGCAAUGGGCGAAAGCCUGACGGAGCAACGCCGCGUGAGUGAUGAAGGUCUUCGGAUCGUAAAACUCCGUUAUUAGGGAAGAACAUAUGUGUAAGUAACUGUGCACAUCUUGACGGUACCUAAUCAGAGAGCCACGGCUAACUACGUG
RNAcentral lists this ribosomal RNA (497 nucleotides) under uncultured bacterium. RNAcentral's name for it is "partial 16S ribosomal RNA". It matches the Rfam family "Bacterial small subunit ribosomal RNA", at positions 28 to 507 of the family's 1533-position model. The record is from RNAcentral.